CAAAAGGCUAUGAAUCGGAGUAGUAGCUGGCAAGCGACGCACAGAGAGCUUCCGAAAGGUGUGAGGGAAGCGCGAGGCGCGGUCAGCGAAUGGACCGACAAGCUGCGUGGGCGAAAGAGUGCGUCGAGUAGCUUACGACGGAACGCCACCGUUAUCAGGGCUGAGGGUAUGGGGUUUAUCCUGUACCCGACCGAGCGGGGUCUGUCGUUACCUCAGAGCGUCAAAUUCGUCGAGGAACUAACAGUCCAAUCAGGGUGGCACCGCGGGAAAACCUCUCGUCCCUAGA
RNAcentral lists this non-coding RNA (286 nucleotides) under Chloroflexota bacterium. Its description in RNAcentral is "Chloroflexi bacterium T-box sequence". It matches the Rfam family "T-box leader". Rfam says of the family: Uncharged tRNA acts as the effector for transcription antitermination of genes in the T-box leader family. T-boxes are found upstream of many aminoacyl-tRNA synthetase genes and some amino acid biosynthetic genes usually in Gram-positive bacteria. Lineage: Bacteria; Bacillati; Chloroflexota. The record is from RNAcentral.